AUAACGUAGGGGAAAUACCAGUGACAUUUAAGUAACAUUUAAGUGAGCACCUCACUCUUUUAAAACGAAUAUGUUUCAGAUUCUUUUAGUAACAUUCGCAUUUCUUUGUCAUUCUUACGCAGCGGAUGACCAAAAAUGCAAGUAUGGUACAUUCCGUUGCCCGGAACGGCCGGUUUCUUGCCCCGUAAACGAAACUUUUCUUCCAAUAGGACCUUGUUCAUGUAGCUGUCGCGUUUGCAAGCCCAUUGUCCCAGUUGGAAGAGAAGGAGGGCCAUGUACUGUUUUUAGGUUUCGAGAUACGGGAAUGUGCGACAAAGGAUUAUUUUGUUGUGACGAUGUGUGCGUCAAAGGAGAAUAUUGUUGCGUGAAAUAGAGGUUUGAUUGUACCAGCAUACUUGCUAUUUAUACAAAUAAAUAAAAUUAUUUUUGUGACUGUGCAUGCAUGUAUUUGUUUUUUUCAGGUUGUAAACCUGACAUUACCUUGCGGAACACUCAAAUUUACUAUUUCGAGAGAAACUAAAUAGAAACAGGACUUUAUAUACAUCUUUUGCUCAAUAAAAAUUAGGAAAGGCGAAGAUUACAUCAUUUCAAUUUAAUAACUAACGGAACAGUACUUUAUUCAUUUCAUUUACUUAUAAUUGUUGUUUUUUUCGAUGUAUAGAACUUUAAUUUGGCAUUACUGUUCACGAUGGCGACCGAUUUAACAGCUGUCAAGUGAUUUAUUCUCAGCUUAGUUUGGCAAUUCACCAUGAAUGGACUCACGCCUGAACAACGCUUGCAAAUAGAGCAAUUUUAUUUCGAAAAUAAUGGUUCUGUGCGGAAUACGUAUCGCGCACUACGUGCAUUUUAUCGUCGACAAAAUCGCCCAUCAGAGCAGUUAAUUCGAUCAACCAUGGAACGUUUUCGCACCACGUUUACUCUUAUUGAUAACUUGCAUCCCCAGAGACGCCGUAUGGUGCAUACAGAAGAAGCUAUUGCUGCUGUACAGCGUAGCAUUGAGGAAGACCCGAAUGAGUUCAUCCGCCAUCGAACACAGGAAUUGGAUCUGUUUCCAUCCACUUUAUGGAAGAUUUUGCGGAAGGAUCUUAGUUUACGUGCUUACAAAAUCCAACCUGUGCAAGAAUUGAAGCCAAACGAUCAUCAAGUAAGGCGUAGAUUCGUCGAAUGGGCCCAAAACGAGAUUGCCGUCAUUCCCGAUUUUCAUAAGCGAAUUUUGUUUAGCGAUGAAGCGUACUUCUGGUGGAAUGGCGAAGCUAAUCCUCAAGUGUAUGUCGAAACACCGUUACAUCCAGAAAAACUGACUGGUACGCUUUAUGAGCUGGUGGAAUUAUUGGUCCGUACUUCUUCAAAAACGAUGAUGGCCAGAACGUUUCAUUCAAUGGUGAUCGGUAUAGAGCUAUGAUUACUAACUCUUUCAUUCCUGAAUUGAAUAACCAUGAUGUCCAGGAGAUGUGGUUUCAACAAGACGGCGCAAUAUGUCUGACAGCUCGGGCCACAAUCGAUUUAUUGAAAGACACAAAAAAUAAUAGAAAACCGCUAAUUAGGAUGAGUAGAACUGGUAUAGAUAGCGCUAAGAAUUAUUGAUGUUUAACAAAAAAAAGACUGAUCGUUAACGCAUCUAACAUCAGGGCUGUUAGUGCUCUCCCGAUCUUCAUAUUUUUCGUAAAUAAAGCUUUCUCCCAUCAUAAAGGGUGUAGCAGACUAAUAUUUUGCUGAGGUGGAAAUGGUAACUAGUAACUAAAAUUGAACCCGACCUAGUAUUGUUUUUCAUAAUGUUUAGUUAGGUCAUGUUAUUCAACGCUUUUCUGAAAACAACGCGUCUUAUCGGUAAAUAGGAAUCGCUUUAUUUUGUUGUCGGAUCCAUUUGAUGUAGUAGCGCACUCACAUAUAAAAUAGCUGAUAACGGGCGUAUACGUACUUAUAAAUAGGGGGGUUCAGGAAAACCUUAGCGAGUUUACCGCUUGAAUCCACAUAUCUUCAACAUGAGGGGUGUACUUUUAGUGACGUUUGCUUUGUUUUGCACUAUAUACACCCAAGAAGAAAGCGAAAUUUGUAAAGGCAAAUCUUUUGAAUGUACACCGCAACCUCAUUCUUGUCCGGUGAAUCAAACUUUAGUUCCCACAAGUUGUUCCUGUGGUUGCAAAACGUGCAAACCUAAACCGCAAUUUGGUGGACUUGGAUCAUCGUGUAUCGUCUUAUAUUUCCGAGGUUUUCCGACUUCAACUUGCAAACGCGGCUUAAUCUGCUGUGAUCAUGUUUGCGUCGAACCAAAGCAUUGUUGUUGAACUUCAAGAUAUGGCAAUUCUAUUUUUGUAUAUAUUAUAUAUAAAUAUAUAAUGGAGCUGAUAUUUGUUUAAAUAAACUUUUGUUUUCCAAA
This is a long non-coding RNA of Cylas formicarius (sweet potato weevil), 2377 nucleotides long. RefSeq lists it as uncharacterized. The record is from RefSeq and is a predicted model, not a curated record. NCBI's taxonomy places the organism in Eukaryota, Metazoa, Arthropoda, Insecta, Coleoptera, Brentidae. The transcript has 3 exons.